RNAcentral lists this ribosomal RNA (494 nucleotides) under uncultured bacterium. RNAcentral's name for it is "bacterial SSU rRNA". It matches the Rfam family "Bacterial small subunit ribosomal RNA", at positions 29 to 518 of the family's 1533-position model. The record is from RNAcentral.
ACGAACGCUAGCGACAGGCCUAACACAUGCAAGUCAGGGGCAGCACAAGGAGCAAUCUGAGGUGGCGACCGGCGCACGGGUGAGUAACACGUAUGCAACCUGCCUGUAAGCGGGGAAUAACCCGUUGAAAGACGGACUAAUACCGCAUAAUACUAAAUUACUGCAUGGUAAUUUAUUUAAACAUUUAUGGCUUACAGAUGGGCAUGCGCAUGAUUAGCUAGUUGGAGAGGUAACGGCUCCCCAAGGCAACGAUCAUUAGGGGUUCUGAGAGGAAGGUCCCCCACACUGGUACUGAGACACGGACCAGACUCCUACGGGAGGCAGCAGUGAGGAAUAUUGGUCAAUGGACGAGAGUCUGAACCAGCCAAGUCGCGUGCAGGAAGAAUGUCCCUAUGGAUUGUAAACUGCUUUUGCAGGGGAAUAAAGUGCAUCACGUGUGAUGUUUUGUAUGUACUCUGCGAAUAAGGAUCGGCUAACUCCGUGCCAGCCGCGGC